UACGUAGGUGACAAGCGUUGUCCGGAUUUACUGGGCGUAAAGAGCGCGCAGGCGGUCGUUCAAGUCGAGUGUGAAAGCCCCCGGCUCAACUGGGGAGGGUCAUUCGAUACUGAUCGACUCGAAGGCAGGAGAGGGUAGUGGAAUUCCCGGUGUAGCGGUGAAAUGCGUAGAUAUCGGAAGGAACACCAGUGGCGAAAGCGGCUUCCUGGUCCAGCACCGACGUUCAGGCACGAAAGCGUGGGGAGCAAACAGG
This 253-nucleotide ribosomal RNA is filed under the name uncultured bacterium. RNAcentral describes it as "partial 16S ribosomal RNA". It matches the Rfam family "Bacterial small subunit ribosomal RNA", at positions 524 to 776 of the family's 1533-position model. The record is from RNAcentral.